AGAACUGUCAAACAAUUUUUAAAAUCUACUAAAAUGUAUGAAAGUUGGCCUAGUGGCAGCUUUACUUCACUUGCUUGAAGCGCUUUAAAGUAUCGAUUAGCCGAAAUCUCUAUUUGACAGCGCGCUGUAGGCUUUUGACAACUCUUGACAUUUCAAUUUUUCGCGUCGAUUUUGCUUGUGUGCAGUUUUUAUCGCGUUCUUCAUCAAUUUUAGAUACCUUGCUUUUUAUCGUUCCGGCCACCAGAUUCGUUGGUUUUCAUAAAGUUUCAUUUGCCUGUGCCACUUCCACCCGUGUUUAUAAGGCGUAUUAUUCAACUGGAGAUACCUUACUUUUUUAUCGUUCCGGCUGCUGUAUUAUCCGAUUCUUGUGUGUUGGUUGGUAUAUCGGAAGCUUUAGUGCAAGAUGUUCGAAGAAAAACUUAUAGCAGAGAUUGAAAAAACACAACUGCUUGUGGGACAAACGACAGCUUAGUUACCGCGAUCGGGUGAAGAAAGAUUUGGCUUGGCGAAAUGUAGCUGCUGCUGUGGGACAUCCUGAGGAAAACUGCCGAAAGCGAUGGAAAUCGUUAAGAGACCGAUAUGGAAUAGAAUUGAAGGUUGAUCAACAACCUAGCGGAAGUGCUGCGUCGUUUUUGAAAGACACGGUCACGCCCAGACAGACAACAACAAACAUCGUCUCCCAAACGCCAGAAGUUCUCGGACAAGAACCAGAUAUACUGGAUACUUCCUUUGGAUUCCAAAUAGGCGAGAGUGGGAACAUUAUAAUAGAAGAGCAAGAAACCACUGCCCCAACGCCGGCUAAGAGACAAAAGAAAAAAAACGAUGAGAACGCCGCCUUUAACGAUCUAGUCAACGAAGUAAGUCAGUUUGUGGAUAGUCAAAAAAAAA
This is a long non-coding RNA of Rhagoletis pomonella (apple maggot), 888 nucleotides long. RefSeq lists it as uncharacterized. The transcript is spliced from 5 exons. The record is from RefSeq and is a predicted model, not a curated record. Lineage: Eukaryota; Metazoa; Arthropoda; Insecta; Diptera; Tephritidae.